GUGUCAUUUUAAUACAAGGAAAUUCUAUACUGCCUUCAAAAAUAUUUUCUGACAGCAGUGCAAACAACAAGCGAAUCUUGUCGCCUUUGCGGUGCUCUGCGGUGCUCCAUAGAGUGCAUGUGGAGGUUUGGGGGGC
This 136-nucleotide small nucleolar RNA is filed under the name Dasypus novemcinctus (nine-banded armadillo). RNAcentral's name for it is "Small nucleolar RNA SNORA68 (ENSDNOG00000033176.1)". It matches the Rfam family "Small nucleolar RNA SNORA68". From Rfam's summary of the family: U68 is a member of the H/ACA class of small nucleolar RNAs (snoRNAs) which act as guides in the the modification of uridines to pseudouridines. Lineage: Eukaryota; Metazoa; Chordata; Mammalia; Cingulata; Dasypodidae. The record is from RNAcentral.